RNAcentral lists this ribosomal RNA (497 nucleotides) under uncultured bacterium. RNAcentral's name for it is "partial 16S ribosomal RNA". It matches the Rfam family "Bacterial small subunit ribosomal RNA", at positions 28 to 507 of the family's 1533-position model. The record is from RNAcentral.
GAUGAACGCUGGCGGCGUGCCUAAUACAUGCAAGUCGAGCGAACGGACGAGAAGCUUGCUUCUCUGAUGUUAGCGGCGGACGGGUGAGUAACACGUGGAUAACCUACCUAUAAGACUGGGAUAACUUCGGGAAACCGGAGCUAAUACCGGAUGAUAUUUUGAACCGCAUGGUUCAAAAGUGAAAGACGGUCUUGCUGUCACUUAUAGAUGGUCCCGCGCUGCAUUAGCUAGUUGGUAAGGUAACGGCUUACCAAGGCAACGAUGCAUAGCCGACCUGAGAGGGUGAUCGGCCACACUGGAACUGAGACACGGUCCAGACUCCUACGGGAGGCAGCAGUAGGGAAUCUUCCGCAAUGGGCGAAAGCCUGACGGAGCAACGCCGCGUGAGUGAUGAAGGUCUUCGGAUCGUAAAACUCUGUUAUUAGGGAAGAACAUAUGUGUAAGUAACUGUGCACAUCUUGACGGUACCUAAUCAGAAAGCCACGGCUAACUACGUG